GGGAGAGAAUGUAAACAGAGCUCACGGCGAGGCUGGGAGUCUGAGACCGCUGGGAGAGGGGACAGAGUGAGAGCGAGAGUGAAUUCCCUUCUCGCUCUUAUAACGGAAAUCAGAGUGAAGCGAAAGUCUUGGAGAGGAGAGAGUGGGUCCAGUGGGAGAGUGUGAGAAGAGAGAACGAGAGGUGUGGGUGUGAGCAUCGGGAGAGAGGAGAGUUCGUGAAAGCAUUGAGAGAGAGAGAGAGAGAGAGGGGUUCGGAAUUUUAAGACUGAAGAAAACGAAAGCUAAGAAGAAGAAGAAGAGGAAAAAAACGAAGAUGCUGGAAGAGUAAGAAGAACACACACACACACACACGCACACACACACACACACGCGAAUUCUUGAAAGUGAAGUACAAAAACAAAAACAAAAAAAUGAUAAAUGAUCUUAAUUUUGCGGAAGAAAUGAACAAAGAAACCAGUCGAGAAUUUGUCACCGAAAAAACUAGCGAUUAAACGCACAUACCAACACACACACACACACACACACACACCUGCUGCUAGUGACCCACCUUGACCUGUGUUUGGGUCAUUAAGGGGUCACCUCAUCUCAUCUCUCAGGACCACCAGCGGCAAGAGCCAUGAGUGCCGCACGGUGCUUGGGGUGCCUGGUUCUGCACCACCUGCCUCACACCCGCCACCCCCCUCACCGGGCACUCACCCCUUUGCUGGGCGGCCGUGGCACAGUGCACUCCCCACUUAGACUGUGGCUGGUGCCAGACAAGCGGUGGAAUGCCUCAGUGUCAUGGGUGUUGCCGCAGGGCCACGAGACCGGCAUCAACAUAUAUAACAGCACCACUAAGACUAAGGUACCACUGAGGACACACCACCCCGGCCUUCUCACCUGGUACAAUUGUGGCCCCACAGUGUACGACUCGGCACACAUCGGUCAUGCUUUAUCAUACAUCAAGAUUGACAUUAUACGGCGAAUCAUGACCCGCGUUUUUGAUCUCAAUGUUAUUAUGGUCAUGGGCAUCACCGACAUCGACGACAAGAUUAUCCGACGAUCCCAGGAGCUCCAGGUCAGCUUCCGAGAGAUCACUGAACAUUACGAGCAAGAGUUCUUCAAUGAUAUGGACAGACUGAGGGUGUGGCGGCCGUCCCUGGCGCCGAGGGUCACCGAACACGUACCACACAUCAUUGCCUUCACGCAGGGCAUCCUUGACCGUGGCCUGGCAUAUGUUGCGGUUGAUGGCUCUGUAUACUUCAACACGGGUGCAUACGGUCGUUAUGGCAAGCUGUUUCCAGUACAUGAGGAGGAGGCGACAGCGGCGGCAACAGCGACAGCGGCGGCAGCAGUGAUAAAGAAAUCUCCAAGGGACUUUGCUCUGUGGAAGUUGGCCAAGAAGGGAGAGCCGUCCUGGCCAUCCCCCUGGGGCCGCGGCAGACCAGGCUGGCAUAUAGAGUGCUCAGCGAUGGCCAGCCACAUACUGGGGGUGCCGCUGGAUGUGCAUGGGGGAGGGAUAGACCUGCGCUUCCCCCACCAUGAGAACGAGGAGGCCCAGUGCUGUGCCUUCCACGAUACCCAGCAGUGGUGUAACUAUUGGCUGCAUGUAGGUCACCUCCACACCCGCAGAGAGAAGAUGUCCAAGUCCUUAUAUAACACCAUCAGCGUGGAAGCCCUCCUGCAGCAACACUCUGUCAACACCUUCCGCCUAUUCUGUCUUCUCUCCCACUACAGAAACAACGUGGAGUUCGGCCCCACCUCCCUUGACCAAGCAAAGGUGUACAUGCGAAAGAUCCGGUCCUUCCUUCACGACGCGUACGCCUACAUCAAUGGACAGCUGAAGUGUGCCCCCCUCGACGAGUCUGCGCUCAAGAUGAAACUUGUUGAAACGCGUGCCAGAGUGAGACGCUCCCUGGCUGAUGACUUCGAUACGGCCAGGGCAGUAGAGGCAGUGAUGGACCUGAUCACUCUUGGCAACAGAGAGCUCAAGAAACAGUCCCAGGGCACCAGUUUGGACAGGAGCGCUGGCAGUAUGGCCGCUAUCUGUAGCUACAUACACUACUUAAUGGAGGAGGUUUUUGGCAUUCAUUUCCCGAGUGUGUCUGGUACACCUGGUAUGACCUCCUCCAUGCCAGUGACUGCCUUGAUCUCUGGUGGUUUGCCUCUCCUCAUGCAGUGGGUAGUACCUGUGCCAGCAAUACCUUGUGUUUGAUGCCACUCAGACAACUGCAGGCUGCUACACAGUCUGUCUACACUUAUUACCACACCACUAAGGUCCACAAAUUCUUGUAUCUGACUCACAAGAACCUUCACUGUUGGAAGUGAGCCAUGGAUGCAGUGGGGUCCAGGGUUAGGUUAGGUUAGGUUAGGUUUACCUGAGUAUACUGUUGUCCUGAAAGUAAAUUACCGUGUUCACAAAUAAAUACAAGAGGCCAUGUCGUUUAGGUGUGCUCUUAUUGUACAGCCUGAAUCCAGUUUGAUUUCUACAAAAAUAUAAAACUUCGUCAGUGGUCAAGAAGUCACCUGGCUGCAACACUGAACAGGCAUGGCCAUUAAAAAAAAAAAUAAAUAAAUAAAAAAUAAAAAAUAAAUAAAUAAAUAAAUAAAUAAAUAAAAAAAAUAAAAAAAAGAUCCCUGACUACAGCAAACCAGCCAUGUGGCCAUCUCUGUCUGGUGUCAGCGUUGUCAAAAAUUAGGUUUGCAUGUGAAAAUCUACCCUUAGAACCUUAAAAACA
Scylla paramamosain (green mud crab) is the source of this 2717-nucleotide RNA transcript. It is a transcript of the gene named probable cysteine--tRNA ligase, mitochondrial, with no coding region annotated. Lineage: Eukaryota; Metazoa; Arthropoda; Malacostraca; Decapoda; Portunidae. The transcript has 14 exons. The record is from RefSeq and is a predicted model, not a curated record.